GCAUUGAUGGUUCAGUGGUAGAAUUCUUACCUUCCAUGCAGGAGAUCUGGGUUCAAUUCCCAGCCAACACA
RNAcentral lists this transfer RNA (71 nucleotides) under Loxodonta africana (African savanna elephant). It matches the Rfam family "tRNA". Rfam says of the family: Transfer RNA (tRNA) molecules are approximately 80 nucleotides in length. Their secondary structure includes four short double-helical elements and three loops (D, anti-codon, and T loops). Lineage: Eukaryota; Metazoa; Chordata; Mammalia; Proboscidea; Elephantidae. The record is from Rfam by way of RNAcentral.